Homo sapiens (human) is the source of this 1328-nucleotide long non-coding RNA. Ensembl annotates it as PAX8 antisense RNA 1. Its record names the gene PAX8-AS1. The record is from Ensembl. NCBI's taxonomy places the organism in Eukaryota, Metazoa, Chordata, Mammalia, Primates, Hominidae.
ACACAUAUACUCACAGAAAUGAGUUAUUUAAAGAAGACGGUCCAGAUUCCACAGUCCAAAAAAAAAAGAGGUUUGCCCUGCUUCUGAAGGAGUCAGGGUAUGAAUGCAGAGGUCUUCCUGUUGGCUCACAUAUCAGAUCUUCAACGUCAACAUUAAAUGCUGAAAGAACAUCAGUGUAUCAGCACAGCAAAUAUUCCAAAUGCCAGGCUGGAUUCCCUCCAAUUACCAGGACCUCCAGGCUUCUCCUCCUUUCAAGAACUUUCUGACCCUGGAUCCAGUCUAAAUGUUGGUUAUAAACUCACCUGACAUCCACAGGGCCCUUCCAAAAUACUGUCAAGGCUGACUGCUGGUGCCUGGAACCUGCACACCCUCCUGGGACUCUGCAUCUCUGCUGGGGCUGGUUUCUCCUCUGAGCCACCUUAAGGAAUCCCACCCUGACCCGGAAAUACUACGACAAUGGGACUUUGGGAAUGUGUUCUGGAGACUCCACUCCUUGGUGACUACUACAUGGAGCACAGAAAAUUGUCUUGAGUGGCAGCUAUGUGCCAGCAAUACCUGCCUGGCAGAGUUGUGAGAAUUAAAUGAGAUGAUGAAUACAUCUGCUCUCAGCACCACACCACACCUGUGGCAGUCCUCAGAGAGAAGAAUCACAGCUUUCAUUCAUUGAGAGCUCACUAAGUGCCAGAACCAUAGAGCUCAAAGCUUCUCAGCUCAACGGAGAACUCAGCACUUCUUGGACUGAUAAAUAGAGCAGCUUUAAAAUGCUUAGAACUGAAGACAGACCAACUGUGGCGAGAGAAAGUAAACACAUCCAUGCACCAGUCAACCCUAGCAAGCUCCUCGCUGAGAUUACAAACUGCAGUUCCUGCCUGAGCCGGAGAGGAUGCUGGAGCAGGCUGGGGGACCAGAACCACAAACCAGCCCUGGCUUAGCUCUGGCUUAGCUAGCUGUGCCCCAGAAGAGCUGGGUCCUCAGGGAGUCUUCUUGCGGCCCGGUUUGGAUGUUCCUAAGCAUAGAAGACUCUGCCAGUGUGUCCCUCAUUCGUUUCACAUUUGGAAAUGUACCAAGAGAAGUGGGAACCAGCUUUACUCUUUGAUCUAGAUGGGAAUCCUUUCCUUUGCAUUCAAGCUCUCUGUGUACAGGUGUAACUUGCCAGUGAGAGACUUGGGAUUUCUCACAAAAUAGAAUGUGAUAACGACAUAAUUUGAUAUGAAUAUUUGAGGAACUUUAUCUCUGGACAAUAUAUACUUUAAACAUCCCCCUCCCCAAGUCACACACACAAAUUGUUUUUAUGAGAACCAAUUAAUAAAUGCUAAUUCAUUGAGGCA